GUCUAUGGCCAUACCACCCUGAAUGCGCCCAAUCUUGUCUGAUCUCGGAAGCUAAGCAGGGUCGGGCCUGGUUUGUACUUGGAAGGUAGAUU
This 92-nucleotide ribosomal RNA is filed under the name Fukomys damarensis (Damara mole-rat). The record is from RNAcentral. Lineage: Eukaryota; Metazoa; Chordata; Mammalia; Rodentia; Bathyergidae.